GACAUCAGAGUGAGUUCUUUCGGUCGGCCUUAUGGGUCAGAACUGGGCGACUCUCUCUUGCUUGUGGAUCCCGCCCGAGGUUAAUUUCUCGGAUGUGGACUCCACAUCGUUUACCUUGAAAAAAUUAGAGUGUUCAAAGCAGGCGUUUGCUUGAAUAUAUUAGCAUGGAAUAAUGGAAUAGGACCCUGGUUCUAUUUUGUUGGUUUUGAGGACCAGAGUAAUGAUUAAUAGGGAUAGUUGGGGGCAUUCAUAUUUCAUUGUCAGAGGUGAAAUUCUUGGAUUUAUGAAAGAUGAACUUCUGCGAAAGCAUUUGCCAAGGAUGUUUUCAUUAAUCAAGAACGAAAGUUAGGGGAUCGAAGACGAUCAGAUACCGUCGUAGUCUUAACCAUAAACUAUGCCGACUAGGGAUUGGGCGUGGUUUGUUCAUUGACCCGCUCAGCACCUUACGAGAAAUCAAAGUCUUUGGGUUCCGGGGGGAGUAUGGUCGCAAGGCUGAAACUUAAAGGAAUUGACGGAGGGGCACCACCAGGAGUGGAGCCUGCGGCUUAAUUUGACUCAACACGGGAAAACUUACCAGGUCCAGGACAUAGUAAGGAUUGACAGAUUGAGAGCUCUUUCUUGAUUCUAU
This 628-nucleotide ribosomal RNA is filed under the name uncultured eukaryote. Its description in RNAcentral is "bacterial SSU rRNA". It matches the Rfam family "Eukaryotic small subunit ribosomal RNA", at positions 637 to 1271 of the family's 1831-position model. The record is from RNAcentral.